GCCGACGUAGCUCAGUCGGUAGAGCAACUCCUUGGUAGGGAGUAGGUCGCCGGUUCAAUUCCGGCCGUCGGCU
This 73-nucleotide transfer RNA is filed under the name Candidatus Colwellbacteria bacterium RIFCSPHIGHO2_02_FULL_45_17. Its description in RNAcentral is "tRNA-Thr". It matches the Rfam family "tRNA". From Rfam's summary of the family: Transfer RNA (tRNA) molecules are approximately 80 nucleotides in length. Their secondary structure includes four short double-helical elements and three loops (D, anti-codon, and T loops). Further hydrogen bonds mediate the characteristic L-shaped molecular structure. tRNAs have two regions of fundamental functional importance: the anti-codon, which is responsible for specific mRNA codon recognition, and the 3' end, to which the tRNAs corresponding amino acid is attached (by aminoacyl-tRNA synthetases). tRNAs cope with the degeneracy of the genetic code in two manners: having more than one tRNA (with a specific anti-codon) for a particular amino acid; and 'wobble' base-pairing, i.e. permitting non-standard base-pairing at the 3rd anti-codon position. Lineage: Bacteria; Candidatus Colwelliibacteriota. The record is from RNAcentral.